RNAcentral lists this ribosomal RNA (773 nucleotides) under uncultured Neocallimastigales. Its description in RNAcentral is "partial large subunit ribosomal RNA". It matches the Rfam family "Eukaryotic large subunit ribosomal RNA", at positions 24 to 633 of the family's 3401-position model. The record is from RNAcentral. Lineage: Eukaryota; Fungi; Neocallimastigomycota; Neocallimastigomycetes; Neocallimastigales.
AUGUGAUCGUCUCUCGCAUAUCAAUAAGCGGAGGAAAAGAAACUAACAAGGAUUCCCCUAGUAACGGCGAGUGAAGCGGGAAGAGCUCAAAUUUGAAAUCUUAAAGGGUUUCCCUUUACGAAUUGUAGUUUAAAGAAGUGUUUUCUGUUGAGGUUUUGGUAAAAGUUCUUUGGAAUAGGACAUCAUAGAGGGUGAGAAUCCCGUAUUUGACCUUUACUUUCAACUUUGUGAUACACUUUCAAAGAGUCGGAUUGUUUGGGAAUGCAGUCCAAAAUGGGUGGUAAAUUCCAUCUAAAGCUAAAUAUUGGCGAGAGACCGAUAGCGAACAAGUACCGUGAGGGAAAGAUGAAAAGAACUUUGAAAAGAGAGUUAAACAGUACGUGAAAUUGUCAAAAGGGAAGCGUUUGACACCAGUGUUGUUUUUCUGAAAAUCAAUUAAAGAACUGUUUAUGCUAAGCUGUUUAGACUUUAUCAGCUAUCUGUUUAGUUUUGAGCUUUUCUUUAAUGCACUUUUCAGUUAACAAGUCAACAUCAAUUUCUUUUGCUGUAAAAAAGCUUGAGGAAGGUGGCUUGAGAUUCGUCUUAAGUGUUUAUAGCCUCUUGCCUAUGCAGUCGGAGAGAUUGAGGUCUGCAGCGUAGAUCCUUCGGGGCUAAAUGCAUUUGUGCUAAGUUAUAGCAUUUUAUAGACAACUUGUUGACUAUGAUUUGUCUUGUAGCUUACUCGCUUAUGUUAUUUUACCUACGCUUAGGAUGUUGAAGACUCUACAGAGAUA